GAACGGCAAUACGGGAGUCCCGGGGACGAGGGGCUGAGAGUGGGCAUACGGACCGGCCCUGACCGUCACACCUGAUCCGGGUCAUGCCGGCGUAGGGAGCGGAGUAUGGCAACAG
Molecule: non-coding RNA, 115 nt
Filed under: Mycobacterium farcinogenes
Lineage: Bacteria; Bacillati; Actinomycetota; Actinomycetes; Mycobacteriales; Mycobacteriaceae
Description: TPP sequence
Rfam family: TPP riboswitch aptamer (THI element)
About the family: Vitamin B(1) in its active form thiamin pyrophosphate (TPP) is an essential coenzyme that is synthesised by coupling of pyrimidine and thiazole moieties in bacteria. The previously detected thiamin-regulatory element, thi box was extended, resulting in a new, highly conserved RNA secondary structure, the THI element, which is widely distributed in eubacteria and also occurs in some archaea. Analysis of operon structures identified a large number of new candidate thiamin-regulated genes, mostly transporters, in various prokaryotic organisms.
Source: RNAcentral